ACGGGCCAGUGUUCCCACCAAGGGAAUGGCUGAAGGAAGAAAGUGAGACCUACAUGCGCGUGCAUGAUAUACUGAUGGCUCCUACACUUCUGAAAGACAUUCCGAUGCUGUCAUCUACAAAUCAGACAUUUGGCCUGGAAGCAUUUCAUAGCGUUCUCCUUCAUUUUCUGCCAAAAACACAUGGCUUCUCAGAUGCUGGAAUGCGUGCGAGAACACAACUAGCAAUCUUGCAUUAUAACGAAAAUGCGGACCGCGUCCAG
Ornithodoros turicata is the source of this 260-nucleotide long non-coding RNA. RefSeq lists it as uncharacterized. The transcript is spliced from 3 exons. The record is from RefSeq and is a predicted model, not a curated record. NCBI's taxonomy places the organism in Eukaryota, Metazoa, Arthropoda, Arachnida, Ixodida, Argasidae.